RNAcentral lists this small nucleolar RNA (90 nucleotides) under Talaromyces islandicus. Its description in RNAcentral is "Penicillium islandicum A. fumigatus snoRNA Afu_300". It matches the Rfam family "A. fumigatus snoRNA Afu_300". The record is from Rfam by way of RNAcentral. Lineage: Eukaryota; Fungi; Ascomycota; Eurotiomycetes; Eurotiales; Trichocomaceae.
CAAGAUGAUGAUCAUUUUUUACAAUAUACGCUGGAAAUUACCGGCCGAGUCCGUAAGGGCUUUGACGAUAUCUUUAGGCUUAGACUGAUC